CCAACUUGAUCUUCUCUUAAAGUGGGAGGGACUUUGCUCCCCAAGUCCCCAUUUUCCAGUCUAGUCACUCGAGAGGUGUGGGAGGAGAGGUUGCCACUGAAGAUUAAGGGCCCCUGAGCAUGUUUCACUAAGAGAAGUAUAAACUGGGAGAGGCAGAGAGAGAGGAAGGAUUAUCAAGGACAGUGAGGCAGAAAGGAUGGAGCCCAGGAGGUUUCUGGGAAAAGGAGCAGACAGGAGUGAACCUCAGAGGAGACGACAAGAUGACAACUUGGGGGGCCCAGAGAGAAUCAUGCUAACUAAGAAGCCACUGAAAGUUGCAAGAAUGUACAAAAGAAAUGCAGGAAAAGAUGAGGUUCAGCUAUGACAGCUAUCCUGCAAGGUAUCUGUCUACCCUGUUGUGCCAGAAUUUGAAUAAGAGCAAUUCCACAAUUCUUCCAUCAACUGGUCUCAGUGUUCUUCAUCUCGGGAGUUUCAUCUAAUAACUGCCCUGAAUCCUUCAUUAUGCAAUCUAAGUCAAUUUUCCCUCAUCCUAGCUAUUAAUCCAUCCCAGAUACUGAGAAUAAAUUACUGUUUUCUCUUUGCAUUGUUUAUUGCAUGUUUGAAAAGCAUUAUUUACCAGAUUCACAGACUUCAAGCUCCUAAAAGUCUAAAUUAAGGAUAAUGAUGUAUUGCUCCAUUGUUUUUGUUACAGAAAUGCAAAAUAUUCCUCUAACCUUCCCAAAUCAGCUAGCAGAUUUAUUGCUAAACAGUCCAUAACUUAAUUUACUUCUUUAUAUACUUUGGCCAUAUCAUAUUUUGUCACAUGUUCAUCACACAGAAGCCAAAAUAAAUGUUUUUGUCAACCUUUGUAGUCUUUACAUUGGAGAUGGAGAUCGCAUACUUUUCUGACAGCAUCUGCUAUUUUUCAUUCACUUCAGAGCAGAGUGUAAUUUGUCAUACAACACAGCUUUUUACAAAUCACCAGUUUCAUACUUCAGAAGUGUCA
Molecule: long non-coding RNA, 985 nt
Organism: Passer domesticus (house sparrow)
Lineage: Eukaryota; Metazoa; Chordata; Aves; Passeriformes; Passeridae
Exons: 3
Source: RefSeq, a predicted model, not a curated record